This 641-nucleotide ribosomal RNA is filed under the name bacterium MS-AsV-30. RNAcentral's name for it is "bacterial SSU rRNA". It matches the Rfam family "Bacterial small subunit ribosomal RNA", at positions 92 to 719 of the family's 1533-position model. The record is from RNAcentral.
UCAGCGGCGGACGGGUGAGUAACACGUGGGCAACCUGCCUGUAAGACUGGGAUAACUCCGGGAAACCGGGGCUAAUACCGGAUAACUCUUUUCCUCACAUGAGGAAAAGCUGAAAGAUGGUUUCGGCUAUCACUUACAGAUGGGCCCGCGGCGCAUUAGCUAGUUGGUGAGGUAACGGCUCACCAAGGCCACGAUGCGUAGCCGACCUGAGAGGGUGAUCGGCCACACUGGGACUGAGACACGGCCCAGACUCCUACGGGAGGCAGCAGUAGGGAAUCUUCCGCAAUGGACGAAAGUCUGACGGAGCAACGCCGCGUGAGUGAUGAAGGUUUUCGGAUCGUAAAACUCUGUUGUCAGGGAAGAACAAGUACCGGAGUAACUGCCGGUACCUUGACGGUACCUGACCAGAAAGCCACGGCUAACUACGUGCCAGCAGCCGCGGUAAUACGUAGGUGGCAAGCGUUGUCCGGAAUUAUUGGGCGUAAAGCGCGCGCAGGCGGUUCCUUAAGUCUGAUGUGAAAGCCCCCGGCUCAACCGGGGAGGGUCAUUGGAAACUGGGGAACUUGAGUGCAGAAGAGAAGAGUGGAAUUCCACGUGUAGCGGUGAAAUGCGUAGAGAUGUGGAGGAACACCAGUGGCGAA